This 378-nucleotide RNase P RNA is filed under the name Candidatus Peregrinibacteria bacterium. Its description in RNAcentral is "RNase P RNA component class A". It matches the Rfam family "Bacterial RNase P class A". From Rfam's summary of the family: Ribonuclease P (RNase P) is a ubiquitous endoribonuclease, found in archaea, bacteria and eukarya as well as chloroplasts and mitochondria. Its best characterised activity is the generation of mature 5'-ends of tRNAs by cleaving the 5'-leader elements of precursor-tRNAs. Cellular RNase Ps are ribonucleoproteins. The record is from RNAcentral. RNAcentral also lists the same sequence under 1 other name. Lineage: Bacteria; Candidatus Peregrinibacteriota.
UCCGCUCUUUCGGUGAUCGCCCGCCUACGCCAAGGCUACGGCGGGAGGAACGUCCGGGCACCAUGGAACGCUAUGCGGGUAACGCCCGUCGCUGCGGAAAUAAUCCAUAAUGCCGCAGUAGGACCAGUGCCACAGAAACGAGUCUCGUUCAUCCUCAGCUCUGCUGAGGUCCAAUGAGAAUGAAACGCCUCGGGAACCGAGGAUCCGCCUUCGGCGGAUGGGUAAACUCAUGGUGGUGUAAGGAGGAUUUGGGCGCGUAGACCCUGUGUUGGUUCCGACACACUACGUGCUCCUCCGCAUUGAGGUAGCGUGGUAACACCUGCCCCAGAUAGAUGAUCAUCUGAGAAACAGAACCCGGCGUAUGAGAGAGCGGAUCAA